RNAcentral lists this long non-coding RNA (585 nucleotides) under Olea europaea (common olive). RNAcentral's name for it is "long non-coding RNA (OEUR_LNC000475)". Lineage: Eukaryota; Viridiplantae; Streptophyta; Magnoliopsida; Lamiales; Oleaceae. The record is from RNAcentral.
CUCAUUCUCCCAUUACAAGAGCAAUACACUCAGUUCAUAGCACUUCUCAACAAACAGAGUGCUUCACCAUCAACUCAUUUGGCAAACCAAGUUUGUUCUGUCAUUACUCCUUGCACUACUGAGGAUCAAAUGCCUAAUGUUUCUGGUAUAUCUCUAUGUUUGCAUUAAAAUCCAAGACACCAGCUAUCACACCUUGGAUCAUAGACACAGGUGCCACAAAUCAUAUGAUCUGUGGCAUCUCUUUGUUCACUAACGUUGUGGCACAGGUUUCCCACUUAGUCACACUUCUUAAUGGGAAUGGUGUUGCUGUCACCCAUAUAGGCACAGUGCAAAUUUCAGAAAAGUUAAUCAUGCAUGAUAUACUUUGUGUCCCAUCCUUCUCUUUUAACUUAAUUUCAACCAGAAGACUAGCUACCAUUUUGAAUUGCUGUCUUAUUUUUCUAUAUCAAUUUUGCUUUAUAUAGGAUCUUUUGACCUGGAGAACGAUUGGGAUGUAAAGUGAGGCAUGGUCUGUACCAUAUACAACAAAAGGAAAUUUCACCAUCAGCAUUCUUUGAUAUUUUAAGCAACACCAAAACCAUCACA